AAAGAAAAUAGAAAGCCUUUUGGAUUGAGGGUUCGAAGGUGGAUUCAAAAACGUUUGGAGGAUUUAAUCUUCAUGAGCGUUUAAACUUUAUCUUUCCUUGUUUUUUUGGUUAGAGACGAGGAAUUUUUUUGGUGGAAUAUUAAUUUUUAGAUACAUGCUCAAGAUUGGGGAUUUGAAUCUUUCUCAAACUUUUUAAUUUCUUUUACAAGAUAAAUUUUUAGAUCUUCAAGGCAAGGAGAGGCUAGCAUGAAAGGUGAGUUCUCAUUGAAAUCUUACUACAAAGAGCUGGUUUCCUACUACAGAAUAACUUCCUUCACAAAAUUAUUUGGAAAUUAAGCAUUCAUAGUUUGUUGGUUUCCUGGUUGUGGAGGCAGCAUGGGGAGGAAAUUUAGCAACUAAUCAACUCCGGAAAAGGGGGGACUUUAGUUAAUAGAUGCUAUUUUUGUGAGGAAGACAAGGAAUCAGUUCAUCAUAUUUUUUGCUUUUUUGAUGGACUAAAUUUUUUAGGGAUCUGGCUUUGAAUAUGGUGGAUCUGCCCAGGGUGAUUUCAAAUUUAAUUACUCCCAAGAGUUUUGAGUCUUGAGAAAGGGUGAAGACUUGUAAAGAUAGGAAGAAAGCUCUCACUAAUCCCUCCCACCGCUUCUUAGAUUGUGUGGAGGGAGAGAAACAGGAAGGCAUUUUAAGCUGUCGAAUUUCUUCUUGCCAAAAUUACAGAAAGGAGGUCUAGGUAAUUACUUUUUUGGUUUAUAGGGACAUUGUUGUAGAACAGAGACUGUUUAUCUUGUUGAUUUUUUGCCUUGUAAAUGAGUUGGUGUACUUGUUACUAGGUAGGGGGGCUCUCUUCACUGUUCUUUUACCAUUUUCUCAUGGAAGGAACAAUAUUCAUACAUUACCAAAAAUGAAUCCAGAAGUGGUUAACAAGCACACCACCCCCCCCCCCCCAAUUUUUUAUUUUUAUUUUUAAAACACACAUACAUACACACUGAGUUUGGUCCCUUCAAUAGACCCAUCCCUAAUGUAUGCCCUUACAAAGCAACAGCAGAAGCAGCAAAACAUUUUGUUCAGGUGAGGUUGAAUCCUAUUGUUCAAAUUUUGUUCAAUACCUUACAUAUUCCCUGUCGCAAUUUGGUCAUCUCAUAUAUCUUCAGUUCUUGAGGUGAGGUUGGCUAUGUGAAUCCUCAAUCCUCUUGCUGAAAAUUUUUUCAAUGCCUCAAAUAUUCACAUAUUCCCUGUCGAAAAUAUGGUUGUCUGCUAUAUCUUAAGGGCUCUUUUGUACUACUUCUAUGGUAUUUGUGAUUAGGGGACAUAGAAACAAAAUUUGUUGUAGUCUAGUGUAUAUCUUUAAAAAAUAGGAGUUCUGUAUAUUCUUUUGCUGUAGAAAUCAUCAUAUCCUCCUCCAUUCCCCCCCAGCCCAAAAAAAAAAAAGGAAUUCCUACAGACAACUAGAAUUUCCUGUAAACUUGUAUCACCUACAUAAUACAGGUAUGUGUCAACAGGGACUUGAGAAACUGCUGCAACCCCAUGUUAAAAUCUGCCAUUAUACCUUGGCAAAGUUCAACAGGAGUCAUGAUUGAACUGAAUUGGGUUGUUCAAUGGCUUGCCCAUCUUUAAACAGUCAAUAGGUGGGGCAGCAUUAGUUUUCACCUCUGUGUAUGCCUGCCAACAGAAAGGCCCAUUUGUAUCAUUCACUUGUGCUGGAUUCAGCUCUAUGGUGUUCAGGGAUAAAUCCAUGCAUGGUGAGCUGUCGCUGCAUGCAAAGUAUGAGGGAUGCAUUAUGUAUGUCCCUCUUAUGUUCUCAAACGUUAUGCCUGAUAUAGCCACAGCUGAUGUUUUGUUCUGGCAUUCUUCCUUGUCACAAUAAAAUUGAUCAAUAACCAUUGGAGUUUCAACUUCAGAUACUUGAAUGUUUGAAAACAUUACUCCUUGCACUGUGCCCAUGCCUCCCUGUCAGAAAAAUGAGAUUAUAAGAUAUUUAAGAGGGGAAAUUAGUUACCUGGCACUGUCUGAAUAAAUUAUGGAAAUUGAAAUUAGACUCGCCAUUGUUGGUUGAUACUCAGAUUAGUUCAAAUAAUCAUGUUUACAAGUGAAUGUUCUUCAAAAGAGGUAUAUAAGAUUGAUAAGAUGAUGACCUGCCAUGUCUUUAUUCUAACACCUGUCAAUGUAUUUCGCAUGGUGGUGUCUCGGACAGUGAUGUUUGAAACACAUGCUUUGGUUUCAUCUUUCCCUAGCCCUCCAAUGCUGAUUCCAUGCCCAGGUCCACAAUUCACAUUGUGUAUGUUUACGUUUGAGCAUCCGGUUUGUAUCGAUACACAGUCAUCUCCUGUGGAAAUCAGUAGAAAUUCAUGUUACUUUCUGGAACUACAAUUUAGUGCCUUUGAUUUUGUCACACCGAUUGCUUGGUUUCAUGGUAUGCAUUUCAACAUGCUAUUGCUUGGACUUUGAUUAAGCAAUUGUUAUAUGAAUGUUCACUUGGAAUUUUUUAUGUUCAUUCUUUUCUAAGCUCUUGUGAUUUCAAGCUACCCUUUCUCAGAUUUUCAGAAUUACCACAGGCGAGGGCAGUGUUGUAGAUCACCACAUCUUGGGAGUUCUGUAGGUGGAUUCCAUCUGUAUUUGGACUGAUGCCAGGAGAUGAGACGCUCAGUUCAAAAACCUUGACAGCUUUGCAGUCAUCGAACUUGAGGCUUUAGAAGUGGAUGCCAGGAGGGUAAGGAGGUGCGUUGUGCCACCAGGCAGAGCCUUGUCCAUCAAUUGUACCUUUUCCUGCGACUAUAAUGCCUUGGAGAUUUGUGAAUUCAAUCCACUGUAAGAGGCCUGAUCCCCAAGAUUCAAAGCUUGUGGGUGCAAUGAUUUUCCCAUCCAACUGCAAGGGACCUACUUAAUCAACCUUAAAGCUCAAAAGUAUAUUUAGAAAACAAAAUUCUAGCCAACAUUGGUCCUGUGUUAUGCCCGUAAGGAUAAUCAUGGGGAAAUGAAACCUGGAAAACGGUGAUAUGCAAUUCACCUGAAACACAAUGUUUGAUGUGCAAUUAGAGCCUGAAAAGGAAAUGGGCUGGACAAGGAAGGUGGACCCUGAAGGAAUGGUCAUUGUCGAUCCCUCUUGUUCACAAGCGUCUCUCCAUGCUGCUCCGAAUGCCUGCCUUGCAGUGUGACAGAUGCUUUCAGUUUUGACAAGCUAACAGUUGCAGUAGUAAUGGUUUUGAAAUAUUUGGUGUUAGUUUGUCGCUCGAGUCUUCAACAAUUUUAUUUUUUUUUUUUGGGUCUUUUUAUAGAAAAAGAGGAUAUUUCUUUAAAUAGGGAAGAAUGUAUAAAGAAGAGAAUACUUGAAGUAAAUUUGUGAAUUUUGGUGUUACUUUGUAGCUGGGGUCAGCCUUGACUAAUGCCCUGCAAAUGAAAAUUAGUUGGAUCC
Molecule: long non-coding RNA, 3406 nt
Organism: Malania oleifera
Lineage: Eukaryota; Viridiplantae; Streptophyta; Magnoliopsida; Santalales; Ximeniaceae
Exons: 3
Source: RefSeq, a predicted model, not a curated record